GGUUGGUUAGUCUAGUUUGGUAAGGCGGGUGUCUUGUAAGCAUCAGAACAUGGGUUCAAAUCCCAUACCAACCU
RNAcentral lists this transfer RNA (74 nucleotides) under Methanobrevibacter sp. RNAcentral describes it as "tRNA-Thr". It matches the Rfam family "tRNA". Rfam says of the family: Transfer RNA (tRNA) molecules are approximately 80 nucleotides in length. Their secondary structure includes four short double-helical elements and three loops (D, anti-codon, and T loops). Lineage: Archaea; Methanobacteriati; Methanobacteriota; Methanobacteria; Methanobacteriales; Methanobacteriaceae. The record is from RNAcentral.